AGAUAGCCCCCACAUUAAGCUCCUACAGUGAUGGAAUCAAAACCUAUUUUGUAUCUCCUGUCACAGGGUAGGCCCAAAACAAUAUCCAAGUCUAUAUAACAACAAAAGAAAUAUAAUAGAGAGAUCAAAUGCAACCAAUUAUGAACCCAGAACUGCCUUCCAGUUAAGCUUGAUUAAGAACCACACAACGAUCAGGCAUCUGGAAAUUGAAGAGAAUAACAAUAAGCACGGGAAAGUCAAGAUGGAAGAUAAAUUGUAGCAGAAUUAAUACAAUACUAUACUCCCUCUGACACCCUCGAUAAACAUUAUAUCAGUGACAGCAUCAAAAGUUGAUAUGUCUCCAAUAACUAGACCAAGAUUAGCCCCACCAUAAGCUGCUUCUUUCACAACUUAAUUUUUAACCCCUGUCACAAGGUGAGGCAGAAAACAAUAUCCACGUCUACGUAACAAAUAAAAGAUUGUUGAAACUGACAAAAGAUAACCAAGCAUACCAGAAGUGCCUUCCAGUUAAGAACCACACAACAAUCAGACAUCUGGAAAUUGAAGAGUAUAACUAUUAGCACGGGAAACUCUAGGUAGAAGAGAAAAUGUA
This 592-nucleotide long non-coding RNA is filed under the name Salvia miltiorrhiza (redroot sage). Its description in RNAcentral is "long non-coding RNA (SMIL_LNC005898)". The record is from RNAcentral. Lineage: Eukaryota; Viridiplantae; Streptophyta; Magnoliopsida; Lamiales; Lamiaceae.